RNAcentral lists this ribosomal RNA (320 nucleotides) under uncultured Methylobacterium sp. Its description in RNAcentral is "bacterial SSU rRNA". It matches the Rfam family "Bacterial small subunit ribosomal RNA", at positions 1 to 347 of the family's 1533-position model. The record is from RNAcentral. Lineage: Bacteria; Pseudomonadati; Pseudomonadota; Alphaproteobacteria; Hyphomicrobiales; Methylobacteriaceae.
UUCGCCCUUAGAGUUUGAUCCUGGCUCAGAGCGAACGCUGGCGGCAGGCUUAACACAUGCAAGUCGAACGCAUCCUUCGGGAUGAGUGGCAGACGGGUGAGUAACACGUGGGAACGUGCCCUCCGGUCUGGGAUAACCCUGGGAAACUAGGGCUAAUACCGGAUACGUGCUUUGGCAGAAAGGUUUACUGCCGGAGGAUCGGCCCGCGUCUGAUUAGCUAGUUGGUGGGGUAACGGCCUACCAAGGCGACGAUCAGUAGCUGGUCUGAGAGGAUGAUCAGCCACACUGGGACUGAGACACGGCCCAGACUCCUACGGGAG